Long non-coding RNA from Physella acuta, 180 nucleotides. RefSeq lists it as uncharacterized. The record is from RefSeq and is a predicted model, not a curated record. NCBI's taxonomy places the organism in Eukaryota, Metazoa, Mollusca, Gastropoda, Physidae.
ACAGUUGUUCGUCGUGUCGGAAUCCUGAAUACUGUUCAGAAAAUAGAGAUUGCUGCGUAUCAAAUCAGUGCAGGAGAUAUUUAGACGGAAAAAAAAGAUGUGUUUACAUUCGUAGAAAAUAAAAGAACACAAAAUGAAUAAAAUAAACUUCUAGAAAAAAUAAACAUCUGACAUUGACAA